GAUGCGAUCCAGCAGAAUGAGGGGGUGCAGAAAAGGUUUUUGUUUUGGUUUGCUUGUUUUUAUAUUUUUUUUGUUGGUCCAGUGGCCCAUGCAGGAAAUAAAGGGGACUGCGAAGAUGAAAAAUGGGGGUACGAAUUAAAAGGGAGGUUUGGUCCUUAUUAUGAUUUUUUUUUUUAAAAAAGAAACGACCCAAGACCUAGGCUUAGGGUUUUGCCUACAAUCAGAAACAGGGGUCUGCCCCCUUCAUCCCAUUUGUGCUCAAUAUCUAAGAGACCAGAGUCUCUUCUUCUCUGAAAAGAAACGAAACACCAAGGCACUUAACCCCCGGCAACUGUGACGUCUUCGCCUCCCACCGAAAGCCACUGCGCCGCCCCAACAGCCUUGGCAUCGCCGGCGACCCCAAGCGCCACCAGAGCCGCCGCUGGCAGCGGCGCCAGAUCUUCUCUUUUGCUCCCCUUUCGUGUGCGAGAAGAGAAACCCUCUCGGUUCGAAAAUGGCGCCGGCCGCCGUGAGCCACGAGCAGGGCCGCCAUUGGUUGCAGCGUCAAAGUCCUCCUCUCAUUCUGAUUCUGCGGGAGCUCUCUCCCUCCUUGAACGCUGCCUGCAUCCGAUAGCCACCGCGUCGCCAAUCGUCGGAGAUGCCCCCUCACCGGUGCCACCAGUGCCGCUCUCUUCCCUCUCCGUUAGAGUUUUCCUUUCUUUUCCCUCAAACGCUAGGCGUGUGAGCGCGCCCAAUUCACCGAUAAGGGAAACCCAAAUUGUAACUCUUUAAAGCAAUGAAGGGAACAGGUUUGGAAAAAAACAGAAAAAAACAAAUUUCUCAUGUCCCUCUGAAGGGAGUAUCGAACUGGGUUGUCUUCAUGACUGAAGAAGGGUUUAUGGUUUGCUCAGUGUGUGCCCAUUGCUUAGGGAGUCACCUCCUUUGUUAGUAGGAAACAAGGAUUCCAUCAGCUGACUUAGAUUGUGGUUGUCGUAGUUGAUUCUGGGUGUUUGGGUCACUUCUUCUUUCUUGCAGAAAAAUGGCAUUGGGAUCUCGGUAAUAAAAGUCCAGGUUGAUGUCGACAACAGGGUUGUGUGUGAGGGAUUGCUGGUUUGGUCAGUUUGGUAUAUUUAGCACUUUCUGCAUCUGUUUGCUAUCUUUAGAAGGCAUUGAGUCUUGAUGCUGAGGGGUAGCACAUGCCUAUGUUCUAUUAUCAGCUUAAUGAAUUUUGUUAUAUUUUUUUUAUGAAACUGACUAACAAAGGAUAUCUCAAAGUGAACGAACACAACCAUAUACACGCAUUAUUUCAUUCAUAUUCCAGACAUGUAACAGGGACAUAUAACAGGAGCAUAUACCAGAGCAGCAAGCAUCCACAUACGACCAAGAGCUUGAAGAAGACAACUUACCUCUUCUCUGGCCGUGCCGUGUUCCUUCUUCCCAAGUGGUGAUGACCAAUGAUAGCAAUGAUGAAACGUUGAGAUGAAUGAUGGUUUUCAAAGGUCUCUCGUGGUGAUAGUCGAUGAUGGGGUGAGUCUCCAAAAUGUUUUCUGAUCGUGUCGUAUUGGGUCUCAAUAACGGUGCUCUUUUGUUGUGAUGGUGUUCGCUCUUUUGUUGUGAUGUUCUGAUAACCCCCCGAGUUACUAUGAUCUCGUGCUCUUUUUGUUCUCUUCUUCUGUUGCAAUGGUCAAAAUGAAUAAAUUUUUUUUUCAUCAUCAGUGCUUUUUCUUCUGCAGGUUAAGGUCCUUUUCCACAUUUCAUGCGUAUCUCUCAAGAUCUCGUUUUUGUCUUUUUUCUUUUUUCAUGUUUUACUCGUAUAAGUUGAACAAAAACCUUUAAAAUCUUCACUCUUUCCAUGUAUGUAUGCUACUCUGCUGCUUAAGAAUUUUUAGCAAAAAUACAGAGACCUUUUUCGCACUGCCCCCGUAUGAGCACACUCUAAGCAUUUCCUUUGUAUCGCCUGAACACUCCAACAGAUGGGAACAAGAACAGAGUUGACCUUGAAAUUUUAUUUUUUCCUUUCAUUUUUUUUUUACUUUUUUCAUUUUUUCAUUUUUUUUUUCAUUUUCUUUUGUAAAUAAUUAUAUAAAAAGAAUCCCUUGAACUUAAAAAAUAUAAAAGGAAACAACAAAAUAAAAUAUGAAAGUAUGAUACAUAAAAGUAAACCGAAAAAAGAGAGAAAAUAAAAAUAAAAAUAAGACAAAAAUGAAAUAGCAUAAAACGAAAAAUGGAAUGUAAUAAAAUAAAUUAAAAUAAAAUGAAAUAAGAUAAAAUAAAAUAAGAUAAGAUAAAAUAAAAUAAAAGAAAAGAAAGUAAAAUGAAAUAAAAUAAAAAAAUAAAAUAAAAUAAAACAAAAUCUAAUAAAAUAUAAAAUUGAGAAAAAAUAAAAAUAAAUAAAUAAAUAAAUAAAAACGAAACCAACUAGAAAACAGAGGAUAAAAUUAAAAUAAAAGAAAACAAAAAAAAAUCACCCCUUUUUUUUAGAGUUUAUAUGAAAAUUAUCUUUGUUCCCUUUUUUUAUUUUAUUACUU
This 2507-nucleotide long non-coding RNA is filed under the name Vigna radiata. Its description in RNAcentral is "long non-coding RNA (VRAD_LNC003191)". Lineage: Eukaryota; Viridiplantae; Streptophyta; Magnoliopsida; Fabales; Fabaceae. The record is from RNAcentral.